Non-coding RNA from Nicotiana tabacum (common tobacco), 806 nucleotides. The record is from RefSeq and is a predicted model, not a curated record. Lineage: Eukaryota; Viridiplantae; Streptophyta; Magnoliopsida; Solanales; Solanaceae.
AUGUAUGAGAAAGGACAAAGAUGAACCAAGAAAAAGAAAUGGGGAAAAAUAUCAAAGAAAAGAGCUAAGAUGACAUGUUCUAACUGCCACCAAAUUGGCCACAACAAAAAAAGCCUCAAGAAAGACCAAGAACAACAACUGAAGCAACACCAAACAGUCAACCUGCUACUCAACAGUCUAGUAAUACUAUUGAAGCAAUGCCAAUGAGACAACCUAGUACCCGACAUUCCAGUGUUUUUUCUUCUUUGUGUCAAGAUACUACAAGAGUUAGAAAUAAUAUUUCUACUGGGGAGAGGACUAGGAAUAGGAGUUGGCAGAGGAAAGGGAAGGGGAACUGGUAUAGGAAGGAGAAGGGGGGCUGGUUCUGAUUCAACAAGUACAACAGUCACUGCACCUGCUGGAUUUGCUACUGCUGCUUCUCUUCAUGCUGCUAGUAAAUCUGUUUCUGCUGCUGUUGGGAAAAAAAAAAGAGAACUGGGAUUUGGCAUUUACAUAGACACAUAACCUGGAAGACAAGUUCUUAAUACCAGAACACUAAGUAAAAAAGUCAUCUCUAGUGGGAGGCAAUUAAAGAAUGCAUCACUUACCAAUAUUAAUCUUGGAUUCAAGCCACCUAGAUUGAAAUGGAAGGGAAAAGCUGCUAUUACUGGAAACCAACUUCAACAACAAAAAGAGAAGCAAAUGAAAAAGAAAAAGCCUCAUUAAAGAAGAUUUCACUUUAUGUAGUUUGUUCAAGUGUUUUGUAUGAUUUGGUUUUCAUGAACUUAAAACUGCAGUUUUAGUUAUUUGCUAUUAAAGCAAUGUUU